RNAcentral lists this small nuclear RNA (290 nucleotides) under Nannospalax galili (Upper Galilee mountains blind mole rat). RNAcentral's name for it is "7SK RNA (ENSNGAG00000008004.1)". It matches the Rfam family "7SK RNA". Rfam says of the family: 7SK was discovered as an abundant small nuclear RNA in the mid-70s but a possible function has only recently been suggested. Two independent studies have found that 7SK RNA binds the CDK9/cyclin T complex (known as elongation factor P-TEFb). The record is from Rfam by way of RNAcentral. Lineage: Eukaryota; Metazoa; Chordata; Mammalia; Rodentia; Spalacidae.
AGGUAUGAGGACAAUCUGACUGUGACAUCUGUCACUCCAUGAUCGUCAGGGUUGAGUGGGUGAAUCUGGGUGGUCAGGAGGGAUCCUAUUUCCCACUCAUUGCUCUGUGCGCUUCCCACUUGAAGGCAAACCCUUAGCUGAAGAAUCCCUCCAGGAAGAGAGCAGUUCUUCACUCAAGGGUAAUGGAGUAGCUAUGCUCCCCUGCUAGAGCCUCCAAACACACUGAAAAACAGAUUACAAAGUAAGACCACCUUUCUAAAGUCAGGCAUAGUGGUAUGACCCUGAAAUUC